This 494-nucleotide long non-coding RNA is filed under the name Mytilus galloprovincialis (Mediterranean mussel). Lineage: Eukaryota; Metazoa; Mollusca; Bivalvia; Mytilida; Mytilidae. The record is from RNAcentral.
CCCCUUUUGGCCCCAAAAUAUAGCAGUUUUACAAAAUUGUUAAAAUGUAAACCUUUAGUUAUUUAUUGGACAGUAGAAUGCUUCUGCUACAUAAAUAUGGGCUGUUUUUGACAAUACAAUGCACAUAUAUCCUGUACUAGCACCAUUAAGUCAUGCUAAAUUACUGAAAUCCUCAUAAUUCUACCAUUUUAGUUAAAUUUUAGACAGUUUUCGUGUAAAAUGAAAGUGGCCGCAUUCGUGUUCAUCCUUAAUAUUGAAAUGUAAGUUGUAUUUUAUGAUAAUACAUAACAUAUAUAAAGGUUGAGGAUGAACACGGAUGCGGCCACUUUCAUUUUUACCAAAAACCAUCUGAAAAGUGACAUUUUUCGGCAUAUUAUGUAGAUUUUUCAUAUUUGAGCAUGAAUCGGAUCGUUUUUAAUGACUAAAUCUGUUAAAAUCUUUCACAUAAACUAAUUAAUUCAAAUAAAAUAGACACUUAAGUGUUUAAAAAAUGG